UGUAGCCCCACUGGAGACAGACACUGGGGAUGGAACUUCACCUGGUCAGAGCAUCCGGGAACAAACAGGCAGCCUCCAACAACAUGGGUGGUAGCUGGAUUGGCCAACCUGCCAGCUUUUCCUCAUUGACACGACCAGGACAAGGUCUCCAGCCCUGCCCUGGCCAGCUCACCCCCUGUAGCAAGGAACAGGGCCAGUUCAGCUCUCCUGCACUUGGGACUGGCUUACCCGCACACACACACUGGGGCAGCUCUGCUGCCUGCUGCAGGUGACAAGGGCUGAGGUGUGGGAGGCAUCUUUCCCUCAUUCAUGCCACUACAUGGCAGAUGGGGGGAGUCAGCCCUCCUGCUCUGCACCCCCAAGAGGAUCAGCCCUAUUGUGUUACCUAGGUGAGGUGCAGAGCCCAUUCCCUGGAGUGCUGCAGCUGAUGAGGGGCAAGGCCUGCUCUCCCACUUCCAUGGCCUCAGGACCAGCUCUCCCACCCACUACAAGUGGUGAGGGGUGGCGGAUGGGGAGGGCAGCUCUCUCUUGCUCACUCCACCAUACGGCAGAUGAGGAGUGAUGUCCAACCUUUGGCCAUUGUGACAUGAUGCUGUCAUCUCUGUAGUUCACACUGAAGAACUUUGCAAUUGAGCUAUUUUUUAAAAAAUCACAUAGGGGCUGGCUAGAUGACUCAGUGGAUAAAGAAAUACCCAGUCUGACAACCUUGGUUGGAUCCCCAGACCCCCCAUGUUGGAAGGAGAGAACUGACUUGUACAAGUUGCACUCUAACAUGUGCAAGGGCACAUACAUGCCCUCCCUUUACAAAUAAAUGUUUUUAAAACUUGCCAAGCAAAGAAAACCUCAUAAUAUUCUGAAUAAGUUACAA
This is a non-coding RNA of Myodes glareolus (Bank vole), 868 nucleotides long. Lineage: Eukaryota; Metazoa; Chordata; Mammalia; Rodentia; Cricetidae. The record is from RefSeq and is a predicted model, not a curated record.